ACAAAUCAUUAGUAAUUGCCAAUAUAACUUUCAUCAAAUGCAACAUAAAGACAAAUUUAAAUGUCUUCAUUUUUUCAAGUAAGCCUUCUGCAAUACCUUUUAAUUCUUGAUUAGUAGCAUCUUGAUGUAUAUCCCCAAGCACUUCCACUACCGAUGGCCACAUCAAAAAAAGACGAAGUAUUGUUCUAUGAUGUGAACCCCACCGUGUAUCUCCUGGCCGAGUUAAAGAGGUUUCUUGAUUCUUCCCUUUUCCAGAAAAUAGCUCACCACUUUCUAAACGUUUCAAUGUAAGUUCAUGUUGUUUUUAUCGAAGCAUAUCCUUUCUCUUACAAGAAGCACCAACCAAAUUCACAAUACGGCAAAGAUGAUCAAAAAAAUCACUAACUGCAG
This 390-nucleotide long non-coding RNA is filed under the name Daucus carota (carrot). Its description in RNAcentral is "long non-coding RNA (DCAR_LNC000435)". The record is from RNAcentral. Lineage: Eukaryota; Viridiplantae; Streptophyta; Magnoliopsida; Apiales; Apiaceae.